CCCCACCAGCCUUAACGAGAUGAGCGCCGGAAUCACGCAAUGGACCAACUGUAAACUGGAACGGGGAUCCUGGAAAGAGAGAAGAAUUGUAGAUACAGUUCGUCAGAAAGUAGAGUAAGUAAAGACUGACCGUAAAAAAACGAAGAGGAGGAAAAUAUUUUUGUUCUCUGAACUCAUAAAAGAACCCAAACCACAAUAGCUCAUAGAGAUGAACUAGAAUUUUCUUUAAGAAUUGCUUAAACUAUAGCCAUUCUCACCAGGAAUAUGAAUCUCUCUGUACUUCACGGAGACUGUGUGCACUCCGAGCUCCUUGGGUACAAAGUGCACUGAGUAUAAACCAUCUUCCACCUCCUGAAUCUCAGCGUCUUCAGACACACCCCCCGGACU
This is a long non-coding RNA of Danaus plexippus (monarch butterfly), 387 nucleotides long. RefSeq lists it as uncharacterized. The transcript is spliced from 2 exons. Lineage: Eukaryota; Metazoa; Arthropoda; Insecta; Lepidoptera; Nymphalidae. The record is from RefSeq and is a predicted model, not a curated record.